RNAcentral lists this transfer-messenger RNA (399 nucleotides) under Bacteroidales bacterium OttesenSCG-928-M11. It matches the Rfam family "transfer-messenger RNA". Rfam says of the family: Bacterial tmRNA, also known as 10Sa RNA or SsrA, is named for its dual tRNA and mRNA-like properties. Its role is to liberate the mRNA from a stalled ribosome. The record is from RNAcentral. Lineage: Bacteria; Pseudomonadati; Bacteroidota; Bacteroidia; Bacteroidales.
GGGGUUGACUGGUUUUGACAGCGGGCAGAAGUGAUUUGUAAGCAUGCAGUGCGCGGUUGUUCGGCACUUUAAUCCCGGAUAAUAAAAAUUUAGUUGGCGAAAAUAAUUACGCUCUUGCUGCUUAAUCGAAGUAUAGUAGAUUAAAGCUUUAUCCUUUCUCUAGGAGUUAGGACGAGACAUCACCCGGAAGCUGUGGCUUCGAAGCAUUCCGAACCGGUGGUGCAGAUAAAUCGGAGAUAGUUUAGGAGAAGCUUCGGCUCUUGUACGAAAAUUUAGAAGAUAAGCUGUAGAUUGGUGGCUUCGGUCUUGUUUACAGUCGAAAAUAAAACGAAGAUAAGCAUGUAGAAAGCAAGUUAAUUCCUCGUUUGGACGAGGGUUCGACUCCCUCCAGCUCCACAA